UUCCUACGGGAGGCAGCAGUGGGGAAUCUUCCCCAAUGGACGAAAGUCUGAUGGAGCAACGCCGCGUGAGUGAAGAAGGGUUUCGGCUCGUAAACCUCUGUUGUUGAGGAGGAACAUCUGGAGAGUAA
This 128-nucleotide ribosomal RNA is filed under the name uncultured Lactobacillus sp. RNAcentral's name for it is "partial 16S ribosomal RNA". It matches the Rfam family "Bacterial small subunit ribosomal RNA", at positions 336 to 463 of the family's 1533-position model. The record is from RNAcentral. Lineage: Bacteria; Bacillati; Bacillota; Bacilli; Lactobacillales; Lactobacillaceae.